UGGCCUUGGGCCGCUCGCGGGGGCUCCGGGUGGACACUUCAAACUCUUGCGUAACUUUGCAGUCUGAGUAAACUUAAUUAAUAAAUUAAAACUUUUAACAACGGAUCUCUUGGUUCU
Molecule: unclassified non-coding RNA, 117 nt
Filed under: rhizosphere metagenome
Description: partial ribosomal RNA internal transcribed spacer region
Source: RNAcentral